CCUACGGGAGGCAGCAGUGAGGAAUAUUGGUCAAUGGGCGGGAGCCUGAACCAGCCAAGUAGCGUGCAGGAUGACGGCUCUACGGGUUGUAAACUGCUUUUAUACGGGAAUAACGUGACUUACGUGUAGGGCUUUGCAUGUACCGUAUGAAUAAGCACCGGCUAAUUUCGUGCCAGCAGCCGCGGUAAUACGGAAGGUCCGGGCGUUAUCCGGAUUUAUUGGGUUUAAAGGGAGCGUAGGCGGCAUGUCAAGCGUGCUGUGAAAUGUUCGGGCUCAACCCGGGACUUGCCGCGCGAACUGGCGGGCUUGAGUCCGCGGAAAGCAGGCGGAAUGCGUGGUGUAGCGGUGAAAUGCUUAGAUAUGACGAAGAACCCCGAUUGCGAAGGCAGCUUGCUGCAGCGGAACUGACGCUGAUGCUCGAAAGCGCGGGUAUCGAACAGGAUUAGAUACCCCUGUAGUC
RNAcentral lists this ribosomal RNA (460 nucleotides) under uncultured bacterium. RNAcentral describes it as "partial 16S ribosomal RNA". It matches the Rfam family "Bacterial small subunit ribosomal RNA", at positions 338 to 795 of the family's 1533-position model. The record is from RNAcentral.